UUUGCACACUGUUAAAGCCUGGCAUUGAGGUCGGUGUUUGGGUGUCGGAAGUGUGCUAAAGCAAUCAAGACGGGUUUUCGCUAACACCAUGAGGGCAGAUGCGUCCUAUGACUGGGGUUUGAUGGUGACCUGAGCUACAGAA
Molecule: small nucleolar RNA, 142 nt
Organism: Xyrauchen texanus (razorback sucker)
Lineage: Eukaryota; Metazoa; Chordata; Actinopteri; Cypriniformes; Catostomidae
Source: RefSeq, a predicted model, not a curated record